CCUACGGGAGGCAGCAGUGAGGAAUAUUGGUCAAUGGACGGAAGUCUGAACCAGCCAUGCCGCGUGCAGGAAGACGGCUCUAUGAGUUGUAAACUGCUUUUGUACAAGGGUAAACCUGAAUACGUGUAUUCAGCUGAAAGUACUUUACGAAUAAGGAUCGGCUAACUCCGUGCCAGCAGCCGCGGUAAUACGGAGGGUCCAAGCGUUAUCCGGAUUUAUUGGGUUUAAAGGGUGCGUAGGCGGAGUGAUAAGUGAGAGGUGAAAUGUCCGGGCUUAACUCGGGAACUGCCUCUAAUACUGGUGAUCUAGAGAGUAGUAGCGGUAGGCAGAAUGUAUGGUGUAGCGGUGAAAUGCGUAGAGAUGAGACAGAACACCGAUGGCGAAGGCAGCUUACCAAGCUAUAUCUGACGUUGAGGCACGAAAGCGUGGGGAGCAAACAGGAUUAGAUACCCUGGUAGUC
This 460-nucleotide ribosomal RNA is filed under the name uncultured bacterium. Its description in RNAcentral is "partial 16S ribosomal RNA". It matches the Rfam family "Bacterial small subunit ribosomal RNA", at positions 338 to 795 of the family's 1533-position model. The record is from RNAcentral.